Molecule: transfer RNA, 74 nt
Filed under: Ixodes scapularis (black-legged tick)
Lineage: Eukaryota; Metazoa; Arthropoda; Arachnida; Ixodida; Ixodidae
Description: tRNA-Thr for anticodon GGU
Rfam family: tRNA
About the family: Transfer RNA (tRNA) molecules are approximately 80 nucleotides in length.
Source: RNAcentral
GCCAGGAUGGUCUAAUCGGUUAAGGCGUCCGCCCCGGUCAGGCGAAGGUUGCGGGUUCAAUCCCGCUCCUGGCC